This is a long non-coding RNA of Mustela lutreola (European mink), 1749 nucleotides long. RefSeq lists it as uncharacterized. NCBI's taxonomy places the organism in Eukaryota, Metazoa, Chordata, Mammalia, Carnivora, Mustelidae. The record is from RefSeq and is a predicted model, not a curated record. The transcript is spliced from 2 exons.
AUAUUUCAUCAAACCCAAGAAAAGUGAUUAGGAAAUACAUUUUUUUUUAAAGAUUUUAUUUAUUUAUUUGUCAGAGAGAGAGAGAGCGAGCGAGAGCGAGCACAGGCAGACAGAGUGAAAGGCAGAGGCAGAGGGAGAAGCAGGCUCCCUGUGGAGCAAGGAGCCCCAUGUGGGACUCGAUCCCAGGACGCUGGGAUCAUGACCUGAGCCGAAGGCAGCUGCUUAACCAACUGAGCCACCCAGGUGUCCCAGGAAAUACAUUUAUAAACUAUGUAAAUUCCGUUUGAUUAUAUUAUGUAAUCAUAGCUCCUUCAUUCUCCAAGUCUCUAACAUAAACAAGCAAGGGCCAGACUUAAUUAUUAUGAGGAUUUUGCCCUGAAUCCAUUUUUUUCUUUUGAUAAACCAGACUGGAUUAUGAAGACAACUUUUACAGUUUUCAUUAUUGGUUAGAAUAAGGAGUUUCUUUUCCGCAUAGACACACAUCCACUUAUUAUCCCAGUGGUAAGAAAUGGGAGCCAAGGGAGUUGGACUCAAGGAAGAUCAUGCCGUUUCAUUCACCCUGAAGACUUAGUACAAAACUGACUUACCCCUCUCACUCAAGACCAUUCUAGUGUAAAAAUAGCUUGCCUGCUAUAAUGGAAAAAGAGAUACAAUCAAGGAGGAAUAUUUGCUUGAGAUACAUUACCCUCUAAGCAGAAAGUUGAACCACCUCCAUGUAACAAUGGAAGCUUCAUUCCCAAGCACAAUACCUAAAGAAGAAUAUUCUUUUGGUUCUGACCUAUCAUUGAGCCAUCAGGGUUGAACAGGGCAGAGAGUCCUGCACUAACAAUAAAUGGAAGAAUGUCUCGAGAAUCCAUACUCUGUAGGAUAUUGUUAACCAUAUGAUGGACAGAGUAGUGAGUGGCACAGUAUUCCCUUUUGGGGGGACUUGCUGUCAAGAAAGUUUAUUCUGUGAAUGACACUAGUAUCUUCCCUGCUACUUUCAUUUAUUUUUACUAAUGUAGGACUUCAUAGAUACUUAAAAUUUAGACAUACCAAUUUGGACACAUAAAUAGGGCCUAAUGAUAUAGCUUGCUCUUUUGGAAAGAAAUACAGGGUUCUAGCAGCAGUUACUAAUAUUCAAUAGCUGAUCGUUAUGAGGAUUAGCAGUUGAUCUUCUAUAAUGAUGCAUAUUUUUAAAAUGAAGAUGAAGAGUACCUGGGUGGCUCAGCUGGUUAAGCCUCUGCCUUUGACUCAGGUCAGGAUCCCAGGUUCCCGAGAUUGAGCCCCACAUCACUGGACUCCCUGCUCAGCAGACUCCCUGCUUUGAGUCUGCUUCUCCCUCUGCCCUUCCCCUGGCUCAUGCUUUCUCUCUCUCUCUCCUAAAAUAAAUAAAUACAAUUUUUAAAAAAAUGAAGAUUCAUAUUCAUAUUCAUAUUCAUUGGUUCACCAUAGAAGUAAAGUUUUUUUUUUUUUUUUUUCUGAAGUGUAGUGUUUUCAGUGAAAUGAUUCUUAAUUUAUUGUGACCAUGAAUCACCUGAACUGUUAAUUAAAAAGGUAGAUUUUGGGAUGCCUGGGUGGCUCAGUCAUUUAAGCUUCUGACUCUUGGUUUUGGCUCAGGUCAUGAUCUCAGACUCAUGAGGUCCAGCCCCACAUCCAACUCUAUAUUCAGUUUUGAGUCUGCUUGAGAUUCUAUCCAUCCCUCUCCCUCUGCCUCUAUCCUGCUUAAGCUCUCUCUCUCUCCAAUAAAUGAAUAAAACCUUUUUUUUU